This 302-nucleotide unclassified non-coding RNA is filed under the name Hevea brasiliensis (rubber tree). The record is from RNAcentral. Lineage: Eukaryota; Viridiplantae; Streptophyta; Magnoliopsida; Malpighiales; Euphorbiaceae.
AAACCAUCUAGAUGACCUAAAUUGAAGAAAUUAUCAAGAAGUUCUCUCUCUCAAGCUGAUGGCGAGAACUCAUGUGGGGAUGAUGGUGAGAAGUUGCAAACCAAAGUUGGAAGGGAUUUGGUUGAUGAAAAAGGGAAGGAUGCUGAUAAGCAGCAGAAAGUUUCCGUUGUUGAGAAAUUUGCAGAGGUUAACCUGUCUAAUUCUGAGGCUACAGUGGCUAGCCUAAAGCCACCAAAAUCGCAAUGAGUUUUCUGUGCUGGAAUUGUCAGGGGACCGGUAACUUCACACAAUGAGAACUCUUA